Molecule: ribosomal RNA, 1489 nt
Filed under: Lactiplantibacillus pentosus
Lineage: Bacteria; Bacillati; Bacillota; Bacilli; Lactobacillales; Lactobacillaceae
Description: bacterial SSU rRNA
Rfam family: Bacterial small subunit ribosomal RNA
Source: RNAcentral
GACGAACGCUGGCGGCGUGCCUAAUACAUGCAAGUCGAACGAACUCUGGUAUUGAUUGGUGCUUGCAUCAUGAUUUGCAUUUGAGUGAGUGGCGAACUGGUGAGUAACACGUGGGAAACCUGCCCAGAAGCGGGGGAUAACACCUGGAAACAGAUGCUAAUACCGCAUAACAACUUGGACCGCAUGGUCCGAGUUUGAAAGAUGGCUUCGGCUAUCACUUUUGGAUGGUCCCGCGGCGUAUUAGCUAGAUGGUGGGGUAACGGCUCACCAUGGCAAUGAUACGUAGCCGACCUGAGAGGGUAAUCGGCCACAUUGGGACUGAGACACGGCCCAAACUCCUACGGGAGGCAGCAGUAGGGAAUCUUCCACAAUGGACGAAAGUCUGAUGGAGCAACGCCGCGUGAGUGAAGAAGGGUUUCGGCUCGUAAAACUCUGUUGUUAAAGAAGAACAUAUCUGAGAGUAACUGUUCAGGUAUUGACGGUAUUUAACCAGAAAGCCACGGCUAACUACGUGCCAGCAGCCGCGGUAAUACGUAGGUGGCAAGCGUUGUCCGGAUUUAUUGGGCGUAAAGCGAGCGCAGGCGGUUUUUUAAGUCUGAUGUGAAAGCCUUCGGCUCAACCGAAGAAGUGCAUCGGAAACUGGGAAACUUGAGUGCAGAAGAGGACAGUGGAACUCCAUGUGUAGCGGUGAAAUGCGUAGAUAUAUGGAAGAACACCAGUGGCGAAGGCGGCUGUCUGGUCUGUAACUGACGCUGAGGCUCGAAAGUAUGGGUAGCAAACAGGAUUAGAUACCCUGGUAGUCCAUACCGUAAACGAUGAAUGCUAAGUGUUGGAGGGUUUCCGCCCUUCAGUGCUGCAGCUAACGCAUUAAGCAUUCCGCCUGGGGAGUACGGCCGCAAGGCUGAAACUCAAAGGAAUUGACGGGGGCCCGCACAAGCGGUAGAGCAUGUGGUUUAAUUCGAAGCUACGCGAAGAACCUUACCAGGUCUUGACAUACUAUGCAAAUCUAAGAGAUUAGACGUUCCCUUCGGGGACAUGGAUACAGGUGGUGCAUGGUUGUCGUCAGCUCGUGUCGUGAGAUGUUGGGUUAAGUCCCGCAACGAGCGCAACCCUUAUUAUCAGUUGCCAGCAUUAAGUUGGGCACUCUGGUGAGACUGCCGGUGACAAACCGGAGGAAGGUGGGGAUGACGUCAAAUCAUCAUGCCCCUUAUGACCUGGGCUACACACGUGCUACAAUGGAUGGUACAACGAGUUGCGAACUCGCGAGAGUAAGCUAAUCUCUUAAAGCCAUUCUCAGUUCGGAUUGUAGGCUGCAACUCGCCUACAUGAAGUCGGAAUCGCUAGUAAUCGCGGAUCAGCAUGCCGCGGUGAAUACGUUCCCGGGCCUUGUACACACCGCCCGUCACACCAUGAGAGUUUGUAACACCCAAAGUCGGUGGGGUAACCUUUUAGGAACCAGCCGCCUAAGGUGGGACAGAUGAUUAGGGUG